GGGUGCCAUAAGACCUGGUAACUCUUUNNUGUGGAACUAACACACCAGUUCCCUGUUC
Molecule: transfer RNA, 58 nt
Filed under: Lampropeltis zonata zonata x Lampropeltis multifasciata
Lineage: Eukaryota; Metazoa; Chordata; Lepidosauria; Squamata; Colubridae
Description: tRNA-Ser
Source: RNAcentral